Non-coding RNA from Sus scrofa (pig), 1115 nucleotides. The record is from RefSeq and is a predicted model, not a curated record. NCBI's taxonomy places the organism in Eukaryota, Metazoa, Chordata, Mammalia, Artiodactyla, Suidae.
UCUCUGCAGCAAAUUGCUGUCCUUGCUGGGUGUAAAACCACCACCUCGGCUGUCUUUGUUCACUGCCUGCGCCAGAAGUCGGAGGACGAGCUCUUGGACUUAACGCUGAAGAUGAAAUUUUUAACUCUUGAUUUUCAUGGAGACCAAAGAGAGAGCCAUCCCUUCCUGCCCACUGUGGUGGAUGGAGUGCUGCUGCCCAAGAUGCCUGAAGAGAUUCUGGCUGAGAAGGAUUUCAACACUGUCCCCUACAUCGUGGGAAUCAACAAGCAAGAGUUUGGCUGGCUUCUGCCAACGAUGAUGGGCUUCCCCCUCUCUGAAGGCAAGCUGGACCAGAAGACGGCCACGUCACUCCUGUGGAAGUCCUACCCCAUCGCUAACAUCCCUGAGGAACUGACUCCAGUGGCCACUGACAAGUAUUUGGGGGGACAGACGACCCCGUCAAAAAGAAAGACCUGUUCCUGGACUUGAUGGGGGAUGUGGUGUUUGGUGUCCCAUCUGUGACGGUGGCCCGUCAACACAGAGAUGCAGGAGCCCCCACCUACAUGUAUGAGUUUCAGUAUCGCCCAAGCUUCUCAUCGGACAAGAAACCCAAGACGGUGAUCGGGGACCACGGGGAUGAGAUCUUCUCCGUCUUUGGUUUUCCACUGUUAAAAGGCGAUGCCCCAGAAGAGGAGGUCAGUCUCAGCAAGACGGUGAUGAAAUUCUGGGCCAACUUUGCUCGCAGUGGGAACCCCAAUGGGGAGGGGCUGCCCCAUUGGCCGAUGUACGACCAGGAAGAAGGGUACCUUCAGAUCGGCGUCAACACCCAGGCAGCCAAGAGGCUGAAAGGUGAAGAAGUGGCCUUCUGGAACGAUCUCCUGUCCAAGGAGGCAGCAAAGAAGCCACCCAAGAUAAAGCAUGCUGAGCUGUGAAGGGGAGGCUCGGCUGACCUUGAGGGCUUGUGGGACCGCAGGCAGGAGCAGUCUACCGAAGGCGUUGAUGGGCCAGGAGGUAUCUUCUUGUGGAGGCUGGGGAAUUAGCGGGUGGGAGUGGCGGAGAUCAGGGAGGGGGAAUUUCUGUAGCUGCGGCCUCAAUUUUAGAAAUAAAUGUUCUUUUGGAGACCAAGUCGGUGUCUC